CGGAUUGCUCUACACCUGGGAAGUUUGCUACGGAAGCCUUAAAGGAGCCAGAUUUUGAAGCGCCUGCUAUUUGUUUUUCCUCUCACCUCCAGCCAUAACGCUUUAUUUGCACCCUAGUGAUUGUACCACCGCCAGCGAUUCCUCCACCAUAAACAAGAAAAUGAGUGGGAAUGAGGAGAGCAGUAGGAGACAUAAGUUGUGCUGCCGGCCUUUGCCCCAGCUAUCCUGACAUCAGAGCCUGGGCUGCAGGGCGCUUGCCUCUAGCCCGACUCUCCCUGCUCACACAGGUGACCCAGCUCUUAUGCUGCUAUCAAGCGGGGCCCAGGCCAAAGCUCAAACCCAACAGAGGCUGCACAGAAAGACCUGAAUGUCUGCUUAUAACUGAGAAACACCUCUCAGUCCAGCUUUGGAGCUUGCCAUGGAUAUAUGGGAGGCUGGUGCCCAGGUCUCGGAAAGAACUGCCAGGCUCCAUACAAGCAUUUGGGCCUCCACCACGUGGACAGCCCCACAGCAAGGAAGCCUGAAGAGUAAGUAGAGCCUGACUGGGCACAGAGCCAGAUCCAAGGACAAAUCUACUGUCUCCAGUCCCUGCAAGGAGGGCCAAGAAAGCAGCGAUAAACUUAAGGGGAUGGCAAUCAUUCUAUUUUCCAGGACUCCAUGGAGAAACAGCUAACUGAUCCACAGACUUAGAGAAUAACCAGUCCACACCGGACCAGGAGGAUUGAAGGCUCACAGAUGGAUGAAUUCAAGAAGCAAAAGUGAUAUCAUUAGGGAAGCUAAUAUGUUCUCUGGAGGGCAGUGGGGUGAG
Long non-coding RNA from Lagenorhynchus albirostris (white-beaked dolphin), 808 nucleotides. RefSeq lists it as uncharacterized. The transcript has 3 exons. NCBI's taxonomy places the organism in Eukaryota, Metazoa, Chordata, Mammalia, Artiodactyla, Delphinidae. The record is from RefSeq and is a predicted model, not a curated record.